AGAGUUUGAUCCUGGCUCAGAAUCAACGCUGGCGGCGUGCCUAACACAUGCAAGUCGAACGCGAAAGUGGAGCAAUCCAUGAGUAGAGUGGCAAACGGGUGAGUAACACGUGGGUGACCUGCCUUCGAGUGGGGGAUAACUUUCCGAAAGGAAGGCUAAUACCGCAUGACAUACCGUGUUCAGAUACACGGAUAUCAAAGCUGGGGAUCGCAAGACCUGGCGCUUGAAGAGGGGCCCGCGUCCGAUUAGCUAGUUGGUGAGGUAACGGCUCACCAAGGCUCCGAUCGGUAUCCGGCCUGAGAGGGCGGACGGACACACUGGAACUGAGACACGGUCCAGACUCCUACGGGAGGCAGCAGUGGGGAAUUGUUCGCAAUGGGCGAAAGCCUGACGACGCAACGCCGCGUGGAGGAUGAAGAAUUUCGGUUCGUAAACUCCUUUCGACCGAGAUGAACAUCCCGCGAUCUAAUAAGUCGUGGGACUGACAGUAUCGAGAGAAGAAGCCCCGGCUAACUCUGUGCCAGCAGCCGCGGUAAUACAGGGGGGGCAAGCGUUGUUCGGAAUUACUGGGCGUAAAGGGUUCGUAGGUGGCCAACUAAGUCAGACGUGAAAUCCCUCAGCUUAACUGGGGAACUGCGUCUGAUACUGGUUGGCUUGAGUGCAGGAGAGGAAUGCGGAAUUCCAGGUGUAGCGGUGAAAUGCGUAGAUAUCUGGAGGAACACCGGCGGCGAAGGCGGCAUUCUGGACUGUAACUGACACUGAGGAACGAAAGCCAGGGGAGCAAACGGGAUUAGAUACCCCGGUAGUCCUGGCCCUAAACGAUGAAUGCUUGGUGUGGCGGGUAUCGAUCCCUGCCGUGCCGAAGUUAACGCAUUAAGCAUUCCGCCUGGGGAGUACGGUCGCAAGGCUGAACUCAAAGGAAUUGACGGG
Molecule: ribosomal RNA, 930 nt
Filed under: uncultured bacterium
Lineage: Bacteria
Description: bacterial SSU rRNA
Rfam family: Bacterial small subunit ribosomal RNA
Source: RNAcentral